Molecule: transfer RNA, 74 nt
Filed under: Ipomoea nil (Japanese morning glory)
Lineage: Eukaryota; Viridiplantae; Streptophyta; Magnoliopsida; Solanales; Convolvulaceae
Rfam family: tRNA
About the family: Transfer RNA (tRNA) molecules are approximately 80 nucleotides in length.
Source: Rfam by way of RNAcentral
UCCGUUGUUGUCCAUCGGUUAGGAUAUUUGGCUUUCACCUAGGAGGGACCUGGGUUCAAUUCCCAGCAACGGAA